This 224-nucleotide unclassified non-coding RNA is filed under the name uncultured Mycena. RNAcentral describes it as "sequence contains ITS1". The record is from RNAcentral. Lineage: Eukaryota; Fungi; Basidiomycota; Agaricomycetes; Agaricales; Tricholomataceae.
UUUAGUAACUUGGUGUUGAGCUGGCCCUAUCGGGCAUGUGCUCGCAUCAUAUUAUUUAUCUAUCUCUUGUGCACCUUUUGUAGUCUUUGAAGUGUUCGCAGUCAAUGCGGUUUGGGGCUUGGGCUUUGUGGUCCUUUCCCUGUUUCGCUUCAAAGGCUAUGUUUUAUACACACUAUUGAAGUUACAGAAUGUCUCUUAUUGACCUUUGAGUCAGUAAAUCAAUA